RNAcentral lists this ribosomal RNA (423 nucleotides) under uncultured bacterium. RNAcentral's name for it is "partial 16S ribosomal RNA". It matches the Rfam family "Bacterial small subunit ribosomal RNA", at positions 355 to 766 of the family's 1533-position model. The record is from RNAcentral.
UGGGGAAUUUUGGACAAUGGGCGAAAGCCUGAUCCAGCAAUGCCGCGUGUGUGAAGAAGGCCUUCGGGGUUGUAAAGCACUUUUUGUCCGGAAAGAAAAUCCUUGGCUCUAAUACAGUCGGGGGAUGACGGUACCGGAAGAAUAAGCACCGGCUAACUACGUGCCAGCAGCCGCGGUAAUACGUAGGGUGCAAGCGUUAAUCGGAAUUACUGGGCGUAAAGCGUGCGCAGGCGGUUUGCUAAGACCGAUGUGAAAUCCCCGGGGCUCAACCUGGGAACUGCAUUGGUGACUGGCAGGCUAGAGUAUGGCAGAGGGGGGUAGAAUUCCACGUGUAGCAGUGAAAUGCGUAGAGAUGUGGAGGAAUACCGAUGGCGAAGGCAGCCCCCUGGGCCAAUACUGACGCUCAUGCACGAAAGCGUGGGG